AUUGAACGCUGGCGGCAGGCCUAACACAUGCAAGUCGAGCGGAUGAAGGGAGCUUGCUCCUGGAUUCAGCGGCGGACGGGUGAGUAAUGCCUAGGAAUCUGCCUGGUAGUGGGGGAUAACGUCCGGAAACGGGCGCUAAUACCGCAUACGUCCUGAGGGAGAAGGUGGGGGAUCUUCGGACCUCACGCUAUCAGAUGAGCCUAGGUCGGAUUAGCUAGUUGGUGGGGUAAAGGCCUACCAAGGCGACGAUCCGUAACUGGUCUGAGAGGAUGAUCAGUCACACUGGAACUGAGACACGGUCCAGACUCCUACGGGAGGCAGCAGUGGGGAAUAGUGGACAAUGGGCGAAAGCCUGAUCCAGCCAUGCCGCGUGUGUGAAGAAGGUCUUCGGAUUGUAAAGCACUUUAAGUUGGGAGGAAGGGCAGUAAGUUAAUACCUUGCUGUUUUGACGUUACCAACAGAAUAAGCACCGGCUAACUUCGUG
RNAcentral lists this ribosomal RNA (484 nucleotides) under uncultured bacterium. RNAcentral's name for it is "partial 16S ribosomal RNA". It matches the Rfam family "Bacterial small subunit ribosomal RNA", at positions 30 to 507 of the family's 1533-position model. The record is from RNAcentral.